Molecule: ribosomal RNA, 442 nt
Filed under: uncultured Armatimonadota bacterium
Lineage: Bacteria; Bacillati; Armatimonadota
Description: bacterial SSU rRNA
Rfam family: Bacterial small subunit ribosomal RNA
Source: RNAcentral
CCUACGGGCGGCUGCAGUGGGGAAUCUUGCACAAUGGGGGAAACCCUGAUGCAGCGACGCCGCGUGGAGGAUGAAGGAUUUAGGUCUGUAAACUCCUUUUUCAGGGAAAGACUUAGGACGGUACCCUGAGAAUAAGCACCGGCUAACUACGUGCCAGCAGCCGCGGUAAGACGUAGGGUGCAAGCGUUGUCCGGAUUUACUGGGCGUAAAGAGCGCGUAGGCGGUCUGUUAAGUGUGAAGUGAAAUCUCCAGGGCUCAACCCGGAAACUGCUUCGCAUACUGGCAGACUAGAGGGAUGCAGAGGUAAGUGGAAUUCCUGGUGUAGCGGUGACAUGCAUUGAUAUCAGGAGGAACACCCAUGGCGAAGGCAGCUUACUGGGCAUCAUCUGACGCUGAGGCGCGAAAGCGUGGGGAGCAAACAGGAUUAGAUACCCCUGUAGUC